GACGAACGCUGGCGGCGUGCCUAAUACAUGCAAGUUGAGCGCUGAAGGUUGGUACUUGUACCAACUGGAUGAGCAGCGAACGGGUGAGUAACGCGUGGGGGAUCUGCCUUUGAGCGGGGGACAACAUUUGGAAACGAAUGCUAAUACCGCAUAAAAACUUUAAACACAAGUUUUAAGUUUGAAAGAUGCAAUUGCAUCACUCAAAGAUGAUCCCGCGUUGUAUUAGCUAGUUGGUGAGGUAAAGGCUCACCAAGGCGAUGAUACAUAGCCGACCUGAGAGGGUGAUCGGCCACAUUGGGACUGAGACACGGCCCAAACUCCUACGGGAGGCAGCAGUAGGGAAUCUUCGGCAAUGGACGAAAGUCUGACCGAGCAACGCCGCGUGAGUGAAGAAGGUUUUCGGAUCGUAAAACUCUGUUGGUAGAGAAGAACGUUGGUGAGAGUGGAAAGCUCAUCAAGUGACGGUAACUACCCAGAAAGGGACGGCUAACUACAUG
Molecule: ribosomal RNA, 497 nt
Filed under: uncultured bacterium
Lineage: Bacteria
Description: partial 16S ribosomal RNA
Rfam family: Bacterial small subunit ribosomal RNA
Source: RNAcentral